AUUGAACGCUGGCGGCAGGCUUAACACAUGCAAGUCGAACGAGUGGCGGACGGGUGGGUAAUGCUUGUGCAUCUAGCUUAUGGAGGGGGAUAACUAGGGGAAACUGUGGCUAAUACCGCAUAACAUCGUAUGAGCCGAUGGGGGAUUAGGUAGUUGGUGGGGUAAAGGCUCACCAAGGCGACGAUCUCUAGCUGGUCUGAGAGGAUGAUCAGCCACACUGGGACUGAGACACGGCCCAGACUCCUACGGGAGGCAGCAGUGGGGAAUAUUGGGCAAUGGGCGAAAGCCUGAUCAAGCCAUGCCGCGUGUGUGAAGAAGGUCUUCGGGUUGUAAAGCUCUUUAGGUAGGGAGGCGUUAACUACAGAAGAAGCACCGGCUAACUACGUGCCAGCAGCCGCGGUAAUUC
This 406-nucleotide ribosomal RNA is filed under the name uncultured bacterium. RNAcentral describes it as "partial 16S ribosomal RNA". It matches the Rfam family "Bacterial small subunit ribosomal RNA", at positions 30 to 526 of the family's 1533-position model. The record is from RNAcentral.